AGAGUUUGAUCCUGGCUCAGAUUGAACGCUGGCGGCAGGCCUAACACAUGCAAGUCGAGCGGCAGCACGGGAAGCUUGCUUCCUGGUGGCGAGCGGCGGACGGGUGAGUAAUGCAUAGGAAUCUACCCGGUAGUGGGGGAUAACCUGGGGAAACUCAGGCUAAUACCGCAUACGUCCUACGGGAGAAAGCGGGGGCUCUUCGGACCUCGCGCUAUCGGAUGAGCCUAUGCCGGAUUAGCUAGUUGGUGAGGUAAUGGCCCACCAAGGCGACGAUCCGUAGCUGGUCUGAGAGGAUGAUCAGCCACAUCGGGACUGAGACACGGCCCGAACUCCUACGGGAGGCAGCAGUGGGGAAUAUUGGACAAUGGGGGCAACCCUGAUCCAGCCAUGCCGCGUGUGUGAAGAAGGCUUUCGGGUUGUAAAGCACUUUCAGUGGGGAAGAAGGCCUUGGGCUUAAUACGCUUGAGGAAGGACAUCACCCACAGAAGAAGCACCGGCUAACUCCGUGCCAGCAGCCGCGGUAAUACGGAGGGUGCGAGCGUUAAUCGGAAUUACUGGGCGUAAAGCGCGCGUAGGCGGCUAAGUAAGCCGGUUGUGAAAGCCCCGGGCUCAACCUGGGAACGGCAUCCGGAACUGUUUAGCUAGAGUGCAGGAGAGGAAGGUAGAAUUCCCGGUGUAGCGGUGAAAUGCGUAGAGAUCGGGAGGAAUACCAGUGGCGAAGGCGGCCUUCUGGACUGACACUGACGCUGAGGUGCGAAAGCGUGGGUAGCAAACAGGAUUAGAUACCCUGGUAGUCCACGCCGUAAACGAUGUCGACUAGCCGUUGGGGUCCUCGAGACCUUUGUGGCGCAGUUAACGCGAUAAGUCGACCGCCUGGGGAGUACGGCCGCAAGGUUAAAACUCAAAUGAAUUGACGGGGGCCCGCACAAGCGGUGGAGCAUGUGGUUUAAUUCGAUGCAACGCGAAGAACCUUACCUACCCUUGACAUCGACAGAAGCCGAGAGAGAUCUUGGUGUGCCUUCGGGAACUGUCAGACAGGUGCUGCAUGGCUGUCGUCAGCUCGUGUUGUGAAAUGUUGGGUUAAGUCCCGUAACGAGCGCAACCCUUGUCCUUAUUUGCCAGCACGUAAUGGUGGGAACUCUAAGGAAACUGCCGGUGACAAACCGGAGGAAGGUGGGGACGACGUCAAGUCAUCAUGGCCCUUACGGGUAGGGCUACACACGUGCUACAAUGGCCGGUACAAAGGGUUGCGAAGCCGCGAGGUGGAGCUAAUCCCGAAAAGCCGGUCUCAGUCCGGAUCGGAGUCUGCAACUCGACUCCGUGAAGUCGGAAUCGCUAGUAAUCGUGAAUCAGAAUGUCACGGUGAAUACGUUCCCGGGCCUUGUACACACCGCCCGUCACAUCAUGGGAGUGGACUGCACCAGAAGUAGUUAGUCUAACCCUCGGGAGGACGAUUACCACGGUGUGGUCAAUGACUGGGGUGAAGUCGUAACAAGGUAACCGUA
This 1505-nucleotide ribosomal RNA is filed under the name uncultured bacterium. RNAcentral describes it as "bacterial SSU rRNA". It matches the Rfam family "Bacterial small subunit ribosomal RNA". The record is from RNAcentral.